Molecule: long non-coding RNA, 870 nt
Organism: Amblyraja radiata (thorny skate)
Lineage: Eukaryota; Metazoa; Chordata; Chondrichthyes; Rajiformes; Rajidae
Exons: 3
Source: RefSeq, a predicted model, not a curated record
CUCAUUUCUGGAUCCCAGAUAUUUAGACUGAACGUCUUUGGGAUCUGCGAGAAAUAAACGAAGGACAGUAGGGAACAAGCAACACAACAAGAAAUUGACAGAAAACACCUAAAUCGAAAUGGGAGCAAAUGUGUUGCAGGAUGGUCAAGGAACACCGCAAAGAGAUGUUGAGAAGCAGUAAGGAGCAGAAUGAAACAAGAGACGCAACAAGAAAGGACUGUACGUUUUGAGGAUCUCCGAAAAGUAACGGAAGUCGCAGGGAACAAGAGACACAACAAUAAGCUGCCAAAUUACAUACAAAAUGAAAUGGGAGCAAUCAAGUUGCUGGAUGGUCAAGGAACAACACAAAGCGACGUUGAGAAGCAGUAAUGAGCAGAACGGCACAAGAGACGAGAGGAAGUUGCCAAAAUACAGCCAGAUCGGUACACGACAGUACAAUGUCUUUAGAAGUUUAUAAAUGUCUACAAAAGAUAAAAUUGUCCUUUUUAUUCAUAUGUUAUUGGCUUCAUAGAAGGAAUGAAAACGCAACAAGAAAUAACGUUAGAAAUUUCUCCAAAAAAAUGAGUUCAAGACAAAAGUAAUGAACAGCCGUGACAAGAGAAACAAUGUCUCGAGGAUCAACGAGAAAGAACAUAAAACAGAGGGGAGCAAGAGACCCAAGAAGAAAUAACUGAAUAUGACGAGGAUCAACGAGAAAGAACACAAAACGAAAGAGACACAACGAAAAUGAACUUAACUGAAUACAUUUAUCUUUAACAUUUAAAUUGUGGUAUUUUAAGUUAUUUACUUGUUAAGAUUUAAUAAAUCCAUUUUCCACUUGCAGUGCCUGUCAGCCGCUCUCUCCCUCUCUCUCCCUCUCUCUGCCGCCUC